RNAcentral lists this ribosomal RNA (252 nucleotides) under uncultured bacterium. Its description in RNAcentral is "partial 16S ribosomal RNA". It matches the Rfam family "Bacterial small subunit ribosomal RNA", at positions 524 to 776 of the family's 1533-position model. The record is from RNAcentral.
UACGUAGGGUGCAAGCGUUGUCCGGAAUUAUUGGGCGUAAAGAGCUCGUAGGCGGUUUGUCGCGUCGAAUGUGAAAACCCGGGGCUCAACCCCGGGCCUGCAUUCGAUACGGGCAGACUAGAGUUCGGUAGGGGAGUCUGGAAUUCCUGGUGUAGCGGUGAAAUGCGCAGAUAUCAGGAGGAACACCGGUGGCGAAGGCGGGACUCUGGGCCGAUACUGACGUGAGGAGCGAAAGCGUGGGGAGCAAACAGG